GCAUAAGCUCGCGCAAGCGAGGAAAACCUUGGUGCCUUGGGAGGGGCCCGCGGCCUAUCAGGUAGUUGGUGAGGUAACGGCUCACCAAGCCGACGACGGGUAGGGGGCGUGAGAGCGUGGCCCCCCACACGGGAACUGAGACACGGUCCCGACGCCUACGGGCGGCAGCAGUGAGGAAUCUUGCCCAAUGGGGGAAACCCUGAGGCAGCGACACCGCGUGCGGGAUGAAGGCCUUCGGGUCGUAAACCGCUUUUCUGGGGGACGAGUAAGGACGGUACUCCAGGAAUAAGUCCCGGCUAACUACGUGCCAGCAGCCGCGGUAAAACGUAGGGGGCGAGCGUUAUCCGGAAUCACUGGGCGUAAAGGGCGUCUAGGCGGCAGCCUAAGUCCCGUGUGAAAGCUCCCGGCUCAACUGGGAGAGGGCAUGGGAGACUGGGCAGCUAGAGACUCGGAGGGGGGUGUGGAAUUCCCGGUGGAGUGGUGGAAUGCGUUGAGAUCGGGAGGAACACCAGUAGCGAAGGCGGCACCCUGGCCGAGAUCUGACGCUGAAGCGCGAGAGCGUGGGGAGCGAACGGGAUUAGAUACCCCGGUAGUCCACGCCGUAAACGAUGACAACUAGGUGUUGGGUGUCCAAGGAUGCUCAGUACCGCAGCAAACGCGAUAA
This 664-nucleotide ribosomal RNA is filed under the name uncultured bacterium. Its description in RNAcentral is "bacterial SSU rRNA". It matches the Rfam family "Bacterial small subunit ribosomal RNA", at positions 171 to 863 of the family's 1533-position model. The record is from RNAcentral.